Long non-coding RNA from Zophobas morio, 208 nucleotides. RefSeq lists it as uncharacterized. The record is from RefSeq and is a predicted model, not a curated record. The transcript is spliced from 3 exons. Lineage: Eukaryota; Metazoa; Arthropoda; Insecta; Coleoptera; Tenebrionidae.
UUGGUAUAAAAUAACAUAAAGUUGUAAAAGAAUUACUCGGGCAUGAUCAUAACAUUACUGCGUUGUACGUUUCCCUGUGAAGAGUAAAACACGGUCUGACUGCUUCUCAUAUUCUGCUCGCCUUCCCCUUUACUGUUUUUUCAGUUAUACCCGCGCUAUAACUUAAAUUUUGUUUAAUCUACAAUAACUCACUAAAGAGAAAUUCGAA